CUUCUUUAUGGGCUAUAUGCCCUGCUUGUCCCCCAUACCCCUUUCAGCAAGGGUUGAUGUGGUCUCCAAGAAUCUUCUUCCGACAGAGAGCUUUAGAAUUUGCCAGAGAACGAUGGCCAGCUGAAGGUAUGGAUGAAAGAAAGAAAAAAGCUUUUCUUCUUUCAGUGAAGCUUAAGCUGUCUUGUCUUUAUGUGCAUUCCUUUUAUUUAAGACAGCCUGCCAGCCAGGGGAAGGAUCUCAAGUCCGAGUGGAAGGCUAUCCCACAAUCCUUCAUGAAAACCCUCUUUAAAGCCUAUAUCGCGUCGUUUAAGGCACAGUAACCGUCUUCCAUGUUAGAUUCAUCGUUGGACCUUGUUACCGUGCCGAAAAAGACGUUAUAGCGACCAUCCUGGGCCUUCCACGAUUGUUGACCUGUCUCGGACCGGGGAAGACGUUCUUCAAGACAGGACAUACGGUACAGAAAGGAUCAUCUAAGGAUCUUGUCUGGACGGAGAUGUGUCUUUCCUAAGCAAGACGGUAA
This 520-nucleotide long non-coding RNA is filed under the name Nicotiana benthamiana. Its description in RNAcentral is "long non-coding RNA (NBEN_LNC019859)". The record is from RNAcentral. Lineage: Eukaryota; Viridiplantae; Streptophyta; Magnoliopsida; Solanales; Solanaceae.